This 460-nucleotide ribosomal RNA is filed under the name uncultured bacterium. RNAcentral describes it as "partial 16S ribosomal RNA". It matches the Rfam family "Bacterial small subunit ribosomal RNA", at positions 338 to 795 of the family's 1533-position model. The record is from RNAcentral.
CCUACGGGAGGCAGCAGUGAGGAAUAUUGGUCAAUGGACGAGAGUCUGAACCAGCCAAGUAGCGUGAAGGAUGACUGCCCUAUGGGUUGUAAACUUCUUUUAUAUGGGAAUAAAAUGUUCCACGUGUGGGAUUUUGUAUGUACCAUAUGAAUACUGAUCGGCUAACUCCGGGCCAGCAGCCGCGGUAAGACGGAGGAUCCGAGCGUUAUCCGGAUUUAUUGGGUUUAAAGGGAGCGUAGGUUGAUUGUUAAGUCAGUUGUGAAAGUUUGCGGCUCAACCGUAAAAUUGCAGUUGAAACUGGCAGUCUUGAGUACAGUAGGGGUGGGCGGAAUUCGUGGUGUAGCGGUGAAAUGCUUAGAUAUCACGAAGAACUCCGAUUGCGAAGGCAGCUCACUGGACUGCAACUGACACUGAGGCUCGAAAGUGUGGGUAUCGAACAGGAUUAGAUACCCUAGUAGUC